CGGGUUGGAAAGGAAAGAUGGCCUCUUCAUGAAAGCUAUCGGCGAAUGAUGGGCCUGCGCGUCAUUAGCUUGUUGGUGAGGUAACGGCUCACCAAGGCUGCGAUGACUAGCUGGUCUGAGAGGAUGAUCAGCCACACUGGCACUGGAACACGGGCCAGACUCCUACGGGAGGCAGCAGUGGGGAAUAUUGCGCAAUGGGCGAAAGCCUGACGCAGCAACGCCGCGUGAGUGACGAAGGCCUUCGGGUCGUAAAGCUCUGUCGAGAGGGACGAAACACCGGUGGGAACAAUACCUCGCCGGUUUGACGGUACCUCCAAAGGAAGCACCGGCUAACUCCGUGCCAGCAGCCGCGGUAAUACGGAGGGUGCAAGCGUUGUUCGGAAUUACUGGGCGUAAAGGGCGUGUAGGCGGAUCACGAAGUCGGGUGUGAAAGCCCUGGGCUCAACCCAGGAAGUGCGCCCGAAACCAUUGGUCUUGAGUUCCAGAGGGGAGCGNGGAAUUCCCAGUGUAGAGGUGAAAUUCGUAGAUUUUGGGAAGAACACCGGUGCCGAAGGGGCCGCUCCUGAUGGAAUACUGACCCUGACGCCCUGAAAGCGUGGGGAGCAAACAGGAUUAGAGUACACUGGUAGUGCACGCGGUAAACGAGUGCACUUAGUGUUCGGGGGUAUGACACCCACGGGUGCCGCCGCUAACGCAUAAAGUGCAACCGCCUGGGAAGUACGGCCCGCAAGGCUGAAACGCAAAGGAAUUGACGGGGGGCCCGCACAAACGGUGGAGUAUGUGGUUCAAUUCGACGCAACGCGCAGAACCUUACCUGGGCUUGACAUCUGGGGAAGUCCCUAGAGAUAGGGAUGUGCCCUUCGGGGAACCCCAUGACAGGUGCUGCAUGGCUGUCGUCAGCUCGUGUCGUGAGA
This 914-nucleotide ribosomal RNA is filed under the name uncultured organism. Its description in RNAcentral is "bacterial SSU rRNA". It matches the Rfam family "Bacterial small subunit ribosomal RNA", at positions 190 to 1072 of the family's 1533-position model. The record is from RNAcentral.